Molecule: long non-coding RNA, 1192 nt
Filed under: Capra hircus (goat)
Lineage: Eukaryota; Metazoa; Chordata; Mammalia; Artiodactyla; Bovidae
Description: lncRNA (ENSCHIG00010016561.1)
Source: RNAcentral
UAAGAAUACUGGAGUGGGUUGCCAUACCCUCCUCAAGGGGAUCUUCCUGAUCCAGGGGUCAAACCUGCGUCUCUUACAUCUCCCGCAUUGACAGGAGGGUUCUUUACCACUAGCGCCACCUGGGAAGCCCAAGGUAGGAUUUUAAAAAUGUGAGCUAUGGGUCAGACGAUACCUACAGUAGUUUCCAUCUCCUCCCUAAGAAUAUUCAUGUUUUCACCACAGUUAUUAACAUAAUUGACAACACAUAUUUUGGCAAUUUAAAAUAUUUUAUGCAAUUACAAAAUAAUCAUUCUUUUUCUUGCAACUUGAACUGUGUCUCAAUCUGACAUCUAUCAGUGCAAUUAAUUAUCUAUACUCAGAAUGUUUGCUCAGACCUGUUGAUAUUAUUAAAAUAUUUUAAACACAAGUAGUUACAAGUUCUUUAAAGAAUUUUAUAUAAUUACUUAAAAAUUCCAAGAAUGAGUUCACGGGGUCAUUUAAUGCUCAUGCAAUUUCCAAGACAUUUGAUUCCCUGCUCCAGGAAAGAAGGAUCUGUUCAAUUUCAUACCCCCAUCAUUUCCCUUCACUUUCCUACAGGUAUAUUUGAUAGUUAUUAUUUGUAUUUUGUUUACAGGAUAAUUUUAAAAAGUAUAUUUAAACCUCUAAAUUUUAUUUCAAUUGAUUUAAGUCAUGUCUCCCUAUUUCCCCAUUCCAGCCAUACCCUUCUAACCUCCCCUCUUUUUCCAAAAUUACUUCCUAGAUUCUGUCAGUUAUUCCUUUAUUACCAACUUGCUGGUUUUGUUUGUAGCUAUACUUUCUUCGUGUUUUAUCUAUAGAUUGAUCUUAACAGUGGGAAAUGAAUAAAGUACCAUUGAAUGGUUGUGGCUGAGUGAAUGCUGCUGUCUCGAGAGCUAAGGCAUGGCCAGGACUACAUUUUCUUUAUUUGAAUCCAGCAUGAACAUCCCUGGAUUGUCUCAAAGAAUCUGUCCCGAGAUCAUGGUUAAACUGAUUUUUAAUCACAGUCCUUCAAUUAUUACUGAAAUUAUGACAGGUUUUAAUUAGCUUUAUAUUUGCACUGUGAUGUUCUUACAUGGCUUUUGAUUUCUCCAUUGUUUCUAAGUGGGACUCACCCACUGGCCUCUGUAGCUCUAGGCUGUAGGGGGCAGGGGUGAUGCUGGCCAAGUUCCUCUUAUUCUCUCCAACGCAUCCAAAC